This 553-nucleotide ribosomal RNA is filed under the name uncultured bacterium. RNAcentral describes it as "partial 16S ribosomal RNA". It matches the Rfam family "Bacterial small subunit ribosomal RNA", at positions 355 to 899 of the family's 1533-position model. The record is from RNAcentral.
UGGGGAAUUUUGGACAAUGGGCGAAAGCCUGAUCCAGCAAUGCCGCGUGUGUGAAGAAGGCCUUCGGGUUGUAAAGCACUUUUGUCCGGAAAGAAAUCCUUGGCUCUAAUACAGUCGGGGGAUGACGGUACCGGAAGAAUAAGCACCGGCUAACUACGUGCCAGCAGCCGCGGUAAUACGUAGGGUGCAAGCGUUAAUCGGAAUUACUGGGCGUAAAGCGUGCGCAGGCGGUUUGCUAAGACCGAUGUGAAAUCCCCGGGCUCAACCUGGGAACUGCAUUGGUGACUGGCAGGCUAGAGUAUGGCAGAGGGGGGUUAGAAUUCCACGUGUAGCAGUGAGAUGCGUAGAGAUGUGGAGGAAUACCGAUGGCGAAGGCAGCCCCCUGGGCCAAUACUGACGCUCAUGCACGAAAGCGUGGGGGAGCAAACAGGAUUAGAUACCCUGGUAGUCCACGCCCUAAACGAUGUCAACUAGUUGUUGGGGAUUCAUUUCCUUAGUAACGUAGCUAACGCGUGAAGUUGACCGCCUGGGGAGUACGGUCGCAAGAUUAAAA